RNAcentral lists this ribosomal RNA (425 nucleotides) under uncultured bacterium. RNAcentral's name for it is "bacterial SSU rRNA". It matches the Rfam family "Bacterial small subunit ribosomal RNA", at positions 354 to 796 of the family's 1533-position model. The record is from RNAcentral.
GUGGGGAAUAUUGGACAAUGGGCGAAAGCCUGAUCCAGCCAUGCCGCGUGAGUGAUGAAGGCCUUAGGGUUGUAAAGCUCUUUCAGUAGGGAAGAUAAUGACGGUACCUACAGAAGAAGCCCCGGCUAACUUCGUGCCAGCAGCCGCGGUAACACGAAGGGGGCUAGCGUUGUUCGGAUUUACUGGGCGUAAAGCGCACGUAGGCGGAUUGGUCAGUUAGAGGUGAAAUCCUGGAGCUCAACUCCAGAACUGCCUUUAAUACUGCCAGUCUAGAUGCCAGAAGAGGUGAGUGGAACUCCUAGUGUAGAGGUGGAAUUCGUAGAUAUUAGGAAGAACACCAGUGGCGAAGGCGGCUCACUGGUCUGGUACUGACGCUGAGGUGCGAAAGCGUGGGGAGCAAACAGGAUUAGAAACCCGGGUAGUCC